Saccostrea cuccullata (small rock oyster) is the source of this 3705-nucleotide long non-coding RNA. RefSeq lists it as uncharacterized. Lineage: Eukaryota; Metazoa; Mollusca; Bivalvia; Ostreida; Ostreidae. The transcript has 7 exons. The record is from RefSeq and is a predicted model, not a curated record.
CCCUAUCAAGGUUAUUGGCCGCCAUCUUGGACUGGGGGCAAACAUUGGGGGCUGACGUCACAAAAACAAUGGCCGACGCGAGGCGAAGCGAGAACGGAUCAGCAAAAUAAACCGCCGCGUGUUGUUUAUCUUCGAUGUAACAACUGUAAAUAACUAUGCACAAAAGACUCUCAGCAAGUUAACAUUGAGAGCAAGUCAUAACAGUAUCAGAGAGCCAAGAGCCGUAAAUACAAAGGCCUAUACAUAAAGAAAGAAUGCCUAAAAAGUUUUCCACAAGACAUCACUGUAUUUAUUAAUGACAGCCAACAAACUGUAACUAGACAGUGGCCUAGGGCAAAUGCCCAUCUACCAUUGCCAAUCUGCUACUGGACUGACUUUCUGCCAGUUACAGCUGUUGACCAGAUAGCCGACAAACUGUAACUAGACAGUGGCCUAGGGCAAAGCCGGAAAUGCCCAUCUACCAUUGCCAAUCUGCUACUGGACUGACUUUCUGCCAGUUACAGCUGUCGACCAGAUAGCCGACAAACUGCAACUAGACAUUGGCUAGGGCAAAGCUGGAAUCGCCCAUCUGCCAUUGCCAGCCUACUACUGGACUGACAUUAUGCCAGUUACAGCUGUCGACCAGGCCAUAUGAUGAGUUUUCCCAGUUCUAGACGAAGUAAGCGAGUCCAAGUAAAAAAAAUGCUGCUGACAGUUGCAUCAGAAAUGUUGAAUCUAAAUGCAAGGUCAUGAACUAAAAGACCAAGUCUUAAUCUCAUCAAUACCAGCAACAACUCAAGCUCUAGAGAUAGUUUUCUUCUUGGACCAGGGCGUUUGAAGGAGUUGUCCCACUGAUGGCAUCAGACAAGGUUAAAAACAAAGUGGGAUAGGGAUUCUCACUGGUGGGCAUACCAUCUGAAAAGUGGUUUGAACAUACACGUAUGCCAUUGCCUGGAAUAUAAUCCUGACGACCUUUUAAUAUUUGAGAAUUCCAUUUUUUCCUCAUAAUUUCAUCAGAUGGAAGUUUAUGAAAUUUAAGAGUAUGAACAUGUGAUUUGAUAUCAUAAUUUUGGGGAUAUCUCCUGUCAUUGUUGCAAGGACCAACUGCACACCUAUCACCUCCUCCCAUGUUUGUUUAGUUGAAUAUCAAUUAUAUAUAAAAGAUGAAAUUUGACCCUCUGAUACUAGCAGACUUAACUAGGACAUGAUUUUUUUUUUAUUGAGAUACAUGUAUAUAUAAAUAGAAGUUUAUAAACUAAAUCAAGUUGAAGGAAGGGUACAGUGAUCUGCAAGGGAAAAAACAUUUUUAAUAUGAUUUAAAUACUCAGUAUUUAAAGAAGUAAGAAAUACCUAGACUAGGCACAGUAAAGCAUGUACAAUGUACUCUAUUUGUAUAGAUGAUAUGUAAACAAUUCAUUUUAAUGAUGUUUUAACUUCAAUUCUGUAAAGCACUCUGUCUUAUGAAGCACAUGCAUUACAAGUCCAUAUUUCAGCAGUGGGUUCUGUUUUGACCCCUACACAUUUCCAAUGAAACCAAAGGUCACAGUUAUCACAACAAAUGCUGUGAUCUCCACACUCGAUGAUUUCAUCGCCAUCUAAGCAAAGUUUGUUGCAUAGUUGACAAAAUGUCAAAUUUUUUGUGCCCAAAAGAUAAGGGACAAUGUAAAUUUUAAAGAAAAGGGAUGCUUUUUGUACUAUUUCCAUCCAAAUCUUUUUGUCUAAUUUUACUUUUAGAAUUAGUGUGUCUUUAGCUGACCACACCACAAAGAAAGCUUGCUGCAGACCAGUGACACCAAGUUGUGCUUGAAUCUGGUAGUAAUAUUUGUGUGAAGAUUUCAAAGCCAGAUUUCCUUCUUGUUGUUCAAGGAAAUCUGUCAAAUGCCAACCUUCUUGCACAGAUACAUUGUUAGUGUUAAGAACGUAGGGGCAUUUGAUUUCAAGGACAGACGCUCCACAACAGUUACACUGAAUGAUGCCGUCGGGACUGGCUGCCAAAAAUGGCAUGUCAGGUUUUAUAUAUAAACCUGCUUUUCUGAUGGAAAAACCGGAGUGCUUUAGGGACUCAAGCUUUAAAAAAUCUACUCUAGCUGUAUCCUCCUUUUCUAUUCCAUACUUAACAGCUGGAACAAAAGAGAUGUCAUCUCCACCAUGCAAUAUAUUUUUCACAAGGGGGGUAAUUUUGACCUUGGAGCUUCCUUUUUUUGAUAGUGUAGAAAAUUUUGUACACACUGUUAGGGUACUAGAAGCAGUUAUCCUCCCUUUUCUUUGGGUAUGCCAUAGUGGACAUUUGGCCUGAUCUCUAGUGGCCUGCUCAACAAGGACAACCUGUUCAUUUGAAAGGGGCAAGCCUUCAAUGAACUUUUCUGCGGAAUCUGUAUAAUUGGUUCCAAUAUCAAUUAAUGAUUGGGGCAUUACAGGCUUCUGACUGUUUGAUGUAAUAGCCUUAAAUACAACUGACCUUGGAGUAACACUAUACAGCUUACUAAACAUAUUGUUUACUUCUUCUUCUGUGACCUUCCUGUGAUCCAUCCGUCUUGGAUCAAAUGAGGUUUUCAUCUCGGAAAUAAUAGAUUUCUGACCUUGAUCUUCUGUAGAUUUGACCCUGUUGUCUUUCCUGACAUUCAUAUCAGUGACCUUGGAUGGUUGGACAUUACGUUUAGUAGAUGCAUUCCAGUUGCAUGGUAGAGAUGUGCAUGAUGGAUUUGUAAACCCCAUGGUAUUGGCAUAUUCUACCUUAUAAAGUGUAGCUAUUACAUGGUUACACGUUUCUGCCAUACCUGCUAUACAGCUACACCAACUUGUCAAAAUUUGUUCCUCUUGAAUAUCAAAUGCUAUCCAAACUUCUCUUGGAUCAUUAUUUAUAUUUUGUGAUGGAGUAACCAUUGAUCGAAGAAUUUUGAUGUUUUGAAAGUUGUAUGUUAAUAUUUCAUCAACAAACCCAGACUUCCAGUAGGAGAAUGCUUUAUGGGUUUUGUAUUUACCCACAAAGUCAAUGUCAAAUUCUUUUUUCUCUAAAAUAAAAGAAAAAAUGUUGCCUAGAUCUAGUUUUGGCAAAGAUUUGACAUCUGAUUGCCACUUUGACAGUGGAAUUGACCUUGGGUCUUCAGGUAUUUUGUAUUUUUGAAGUUUUUCAAUAUAGUGGCUCUGAAGAUUUUUUUGAAGCUCUUUUUCAGAAACUUUAGGGGACACCUUCUGCUCCCAUGCAACAAAUGCCCUUGAGACGAGUUCAUUUUUAACUCCUGACACCUUUAAACCUCUAAUAUUGAGGUAGUCUUUUAACUGACCAAUAGUCAUGGAGGAAAAUUCCUCAAACAUGCUAUCCAUUGACAUAUUGAUUUUUAUAAGAUUUUCAAAACAUUUUUGGUUAUGAAAAUAGUAUGUGCUUUUGAAUAACAAAAUAUUAAAAAUUCCCUUGCUCACUGAUACUGGUUGUAAUUUUAAUAUUACAUUAAAACAAUGAAAUAUAACAAGUUACAUUGUACAUGUGAUCAUAUUUUUUGGGCUUAUGUCCAUAUUUAUUUCAGUCUGGAAAGAAAUGAAGUUGAUACAUUAUUUAAAAAAAAUUGUUUACAUUUUUAGAAGGAUGAACUUGUUUAAUUUAUAUCGUAAGUUAGUUAUUUUCUCAUUGUACAUGUUUGUGAUAAUACUUUUAAAAAAUUGGUCAUUAAAAUAUAAAACUUGAAUAUUUCUGCAUUUUUUUUAUUUUCAAUUUUAAUUACAUGUAUU